Rana temporaria (common frog) is the source of this 763-nucleotide long non-coding RNA. RefSeq lists it as uncharacterized. The record is from RefSeq and is a predicted model, not a curated record. The transcript has 3 exons. Lineage: Eukaryota; Metazoa; Chordata; Amphibia; Anura; Ranidae.
CUAAUUAGGAGUUCCCUACUAUCUUUGUUUCUUGCAGUCAGCUGUUUGCAGUUAACUGUGAUAGCUGAUGGGAGGGUCUUGCUAUAAAUACAGAGCACCCACACCUUCACACCAGCACUCUUUGCUGGAUUGUCAAGCUGUGAGGUUGAUCCUGUCAAUAAUACAGUGUACUGUCUGACAGUGGACAUUAUUAGAUCUGUUGCGGAUCUCAUAUAAUCAGGGACCUCCAUCCCAGUCCCAGUAUAUCCCUUCUGGCUGAUCCGCCGGCUUCUCGAUCUUUGGAAAAAUUUCUCCCUAAAGGGACAAACACCUGUUCCUUAUAAAUGUUCGUCUCAAACUUGAAUUAAUUGUAUAUCCCAAUACCCAUUUCUUGUUUGACUGGCAACCUCAUUGAUUGAACCCAGCGUGCAGUUUAUAUUUUCAAUUCUUUUAAAAAAUUGUAUCCAAUGAAAUAUUCAUCAUCCUUUAUAAUACGUAAGUGAAUGAUUACAUGUAUAUAUAUCACAUAUAAAGAAAACUUUUUGUAUCUAUUAAUAAUGUUCUAAAUGCAUGUAAUUAACUUUAUGUAUUUUUAUGCUUUAAUGAACGAAUUGUCCUUCUCUACACACCUCUGAAGACGGUUACCCCGAAACGCGUCGGGUGUAAAGAAGGUUCUUCAUGUAUGUACUUAUAUGGUGACAAUCACUGAAACUGUAUAUUUUAAUUCAAUAUUUCAUUUUUUUGAUAAAUAUGUACAAUUGUGAAUAAAACAAUUUACUCUCAA